GUCAUCAAUGUGGAGUCCUGGUGGUUCUUCAGCUCCAGCAGUGCUGGGACCACCUAUGGCUGCAAAGUGUCUCUUGAGGGAGCUCAGGGAAGUCUAGACAGUCAGCAAUAAGUGCCAAUUGUAUAUAUAUGUAUAAUAUUUAUAUUACAUAUAUAUGUGUCAAGUGUACAAUCACAGGCUGGUUUAUAAGGAUGUUGUAAGCAUAGCUUGGAGAAUCUGUCCCUCCAAGCAACCAGCUGCAGCUCAAGAACCUGAUGAGUUUCUUCUGCCUGGGGCAAAGUUGUUGAUGAUGAUAAAUGUUCCAGUGUCCUGCACGUUGCAGAGUCUGCUCCRUGGCAGGAAACAUAGAAGAGCAGGAGCAAAAAACUACAAACUGGAAGGAUCAGCA
Nothoprocta perdicaria is the source of this 388-nucleotide long non-coding RNA. RefSeq lists it as uncharacterized. The transcript has 2 exons. The record is from RefSeq and is a predicted model, not a curated record. NCBI's taxonomy places the organism in Eukaryota, Metazoa, Chordata, Aves, Tinamiformes, Tinamidae.